CUACGGGGCGCUGCAGUGAGGAAUAUUGGUCAAUGGGCGAAAGCCUGAACCAGCCAUGUCGCGUGCAGGAUGACGGCCCUAUGGGUUGUAAACUGCUUUUUUACAGGAAUAAUUGCAGGUACGUGUACCUGUUUGAAUGUACUGUAUGAAUAAGGAUCGGCUAACUCCGUGCCAGCAGCCGCGGUAAUACGGAGGAUUCGAGCGUUAUCCGGAUUUAUUGGGUUUAAAGGGUCCGUAGGCGGUCUUUUAAGUCAGUGGUGAAAUCCCAGAGCUCAACUCUGGAACUGCCAUUGAAACUGAAGGACUUGAAUAUGGUUGAGGUAGGCGGAAUACGUUAUGUAGCGGUGAAAUGCAUAGAUAUAACGUAGAACACCAAUUGCGAAGGCAGCUUACUAAACCAUUAUUGACGCUGAUGGACGAAAGCGUGGGGAGCGAACAGGAUUAGAUACCCUCGUAGUC
This 459-nucleotide ribosomal RNA is filed under the name uncultured bacterium. Its description in RNAcentral is "partial 16S ribosomal RNA". It matches the Rfam family "Bacterial small subunit ribosomal RNA", at positions 339 to 795 of the family's 1533-position model. The record is from RNAcentral.